This 69-nucleotide transfer RNA is filed under the name Marmota monax (woodchuck). Its description in RNAcentral is "tRNA.Ala". Lineage: Eukaryota; Metazoa; Chordata; Mammalia; Rodentia; Sciuridae. The record is from RNAcentral.
GUUUGUGGCUCAGUGGUAGAGUGGUCGCCUAGCACAUGUGAGGCACUGAGUUCGAUCCUUAGCAUCACA